AUGGACUUGAUCUGCUCUACAGACACAGGAAAGGUUUUCCUCAGUAAAUGUCAAUUUACCUGCACUCCAAAGGAUGAUAUAAGUGUUUUUAGGAACAGUCAGUUUGGCAUGAUUCCUCUCUCUGAGCACCAAGAGAAGAAGAGAGUGCUGAGACACAGAGGCUAUUGUGGAAGCCAAGACACCCAGAAUUCCAGCAAUGUCAGAGGAAUAUUUGCAAGAGAGAUGGUGUCACAUGCAGCUCUGCUCCAGAUUCUGGCUUCCUGUCAACUUAUUUCAUCAGUGGCAGCAAAUGAUGGCUCAAGGAUUUGGGUCCGUGUCACCCACAUGGGAAGAUGA
RNAcentral lists this long non-coding RNA (336 nucleotides) under Oryctolagus cuniculus (rabbit). Its description in RNAcentral is "lncRNA (ENSOCUG00000029899.1)". The record is from RNAcentral. Lineage: Eukaryota; Metazoa; Chordata; Mammalia; Lagomorpha; Leporidae.